AUAUCAAUAAGCGGAGGAAAAGAAACUAACAAGGAUUCCCCUAGUAACGGCGAGUGAAGCGGGAAGAGCUCAAAUUUAAAAUCUGGCGGUUUCACCGUCCGAGUUGUAAUCUGGAGAAGUGUUAUCCGUGCUGGACCGUGUAUAAGUUUCCUGGAACGGAGCGUCAUAGAGGGUGAGAAUCCCGUCUUUGACACGGACUGCCAGUGCUCUGCGAUGCACUCUCGAAGAGUCGAGUUGUUUGGGAAUGCAGCUCAAAACGGGUGGUAAAUUCCAUCUAAAGCUAAAUAUUGGCGAGAGACCGAUAGCGAACAAGUACCGUGAGGGAAAGAUGAAAAGAACUUUGGAAAGAGAGUUAAACAGUAC
This 363-nucleotide ribosomal RNA is filed under the name uncultured fungus. RNAcentral's name for it is "eukaryotic LSU rRNA". It matches the Rfam family "Eukaryotic large subunit ribosomal RNA", at positions 40 to 398 of the family's 3401-position model. Lineage: Eukaryota; Fungi. The record is from RNAcentral.